AAAGCAGAUAGAUUAUGGCAAGUGCACACCUGGCUACCAGUGCUUUCUGCACCAGGUCCUCAAGCAGGGAAUGAAGAGUCUUAGAACCAAUGGAUUCCACUCCUUUGGAUGACCUCCUGGAUGACUGGCUCCAGGCCCUGGAGCCCUCAGAAUAUGGAUGGAGAGGGAAAUAAGCAGUGCAAGUUUGUAGACUUGGUGGCUCCUGCCUCCUCCCCUCCCUGGCUCAGUGAGGACGACCCCCGCCACUGGCUCUACUUUCCAGCUGAUCACAGCUAUUUACCUGUCCCAGUCUUGAGUAAGGCACAAAAUAUUUACAGAAAACAGAUGUCUUUCAGAGGACUUGCUGCUAAGUGUAAUAGUGAAGAUUACUUGCAUUACUGCUACUUUCCAAUCAAUUAAA
RNAcentral lists this long non-coding RNA (400 nucleotides) under Homo sapiens (human). RNAcentral describes it as "non-protein coding lnc-KDM3B-1:7". Lineage: Eukaryota; Metazoa; Chordata; Mammalia; Primates; Hominidae. The record is from RNAcentral.